CAAUAGCGUAUAUUAAAGUUGUUGCGGUAAAAAAGCUCGUAGUUGGAUUUCUGUUGAGAGCGACCGGUCCAUACCAUGUAUGCGUAUCUGGCUUGCUCUCGGCAUCCUCUCGAUAGACGUUGCUGCGCUUGAUUGCGUGGCGCGGAUCUCGGGACUUUUACUUUGAGGAAAUUAGAGUGUUCACGGCAGGCUUUCGCCAGAAUACAUUAGCAUGGAAUAAUACUAUAGGAUCUUGGUUCUAUUUUGUUGGUUUCUAGAAUUGAGAUAAUGAUUAAUAGGGACAAUUGGGGGCAUUCGUAUCAACACGUCAGAGGUGGAAUUCUUGGAUUGUGUUGCGACGAACUACUGCGAAANCANNNGCCAAGGAUGUUUUCAUNGA
RNAcentral lists this ribosomal RNA (379 nucleotides) under uncultured eukaryote. RNAcentral describes it as "partial 18S ribosomal RNA". It matches the Rfam family "Eukaryotic small subunit ribosomal RNA", at positions 592 to 976 of the family's 1831-position model. The record is from RNAcentral.